AAGUUCUCGUACGGUGGUUUGCGUGGUAAUUGUACUCGAGAUUUCGGAACAGUGAAGCGAGACAAGACAGGUUCAGGAGAGGAGGGAGUCAGGACAGGCAGGGAGGCUCGGUUCGCGAGCAGCUGUGGUAAGGGGUGGACGUGCUUGCUCUUCUGUGGCUCACUUUCUCUAUCUUGUUUUAAUUUCUAUACUUUGCUUUCUAUUUUUUUUCUACCGAUCCUUAUUUUUCCAUUUUACUAGUUUCUUCCUCAUUGUAUUACCUCCGCUUCGUCCUCCCCCCACACCCGUCACGGCCACGCGCUCCUCAACACAACCCUGCUGUCGUCCCCAAACAGUCUGAUGUAUGUCAAACAAGUGAGAGAAUGAAAAGUGAUACUCCUUCCUCCACUUCUUCACGGACCUCCCAUAGCAACAAGGACAAGACUGCCUGCCCUCUGACACGUCGUCUUGGUGGUGUCCUCCAUUUCUAAGUUAUUCGUCCGGAUCCCUAGCGAGGCGUCGUCUGUCCCUUCAAGCGUUUCUGCGCCAUCUCGUUGUUGUUGUUUGGCAGAUCCGGUUCUUCAUCUCGAAAUGGUGUGGGUAAUUCGUGAUGGCCGGCUACCGCUCUGGUGCUAGAUGUCCACAGUUGCAACACUUGCUUGUCUUCCAGCAACAUUGCUGAGUUCUCACCCGCUGAAUGCCACGUGCCUUCGCCCUCCCAGAGUUUUCGUACUAAAGACAUCGCCGGGCGUUCGUGGGCUAUCCCCAUCCUUGCGUCCUCGGUGCUUACAACCACCCCGUAGGGUUGGAGACACGAGAUGGCAUCUGGGAAGCGAGAGAGCAGCGAAUAACUGAACUCGAGAGGAGAAUUUUGUGAGUAAUUAAUUACUACUGUAAAUUACGCACGAAAUAAAAAACUCUACUACACCUCA
Molecule: long non-coding RNA, 911 nt
Organism: Scylla paramamosain (green mud crab)
Lineage: Eukaryota; Metazoa; Arthropoda; Malacostraca; Decapoda; Portunidae
Exons: 3
Source: RefSeq, a predicted model, not a curated record